CCUACGGGGUGCAGCAGUGAGGAAUAUUGGUCAAUGGGCGCGAGCCUGAACCAGCCAAGUAGCGUGAAGGAUGACUGCCCUACGGGUCGUAAACCGCUUUUGCACGGGGAUAACACCCUCCACUUGUGGAGGUCUGCAGGUACCGUGCGAAUAAGGGCCGGCUAAUUCCGUGCCAGCAGCCGCGGUAAUACGGAAGGCCCGAGCGUUAUCCGGAUUCAGUGGGCUUAAAGGGAGCGUAGGCGGGCGUUCAAGUCAGCUGUAAAAUCGCGCGGCUCAACCGCGCCCCGCAGUUGAAACUGGACGCCUUGAGUUCACAACAGGCAGGCGGAAUUCGUGGUGUAGCGGUGAAAUGCAUAGAUAUCACGAGGAACCCCGAUUGCGAAGGCAGCCUGCCGGGGUGCGACUGACGCUGAGGCUCGAAGGUGCGGGUAUCAAACAGGAUUAGAUACCCCUAGUAGUC
Molecule: ribosomal RNA, 460 nt
Filed under: uncultured bacterium
Lineage: Bacteria
Description: partial 16S ribosomal RNA
Rfam family: Bacterial small subunit ribosomal RNA
Source: RNAcentral